Molecule: unclassified non-coding RNA, 327 nt
Filed under: Hevea brasiliensis (rubber tree)
Lineage: Eukaryota; Viridiplantae; Streptophyta; Magnoliopsida; Malpighiales; Euphorbiaceae
Source: RNAcentral
GCCUUCUGCUUUGUUGAAAGAAAACGUUAAGGACAUCUUGCUAGGGUCAUAAGAAUAGCUAGGUUGCGUCACUGGGGGAUUUUCUACCACAUCACCAAUGUACAUUAAUCGGAUCAAUAUAUAUUUUAGCUUGUAGCAAGGCUUGGCACAUGAAGUUUCAAGAUAUGCAUCAAAUGUGGCCUUAUUCCAUUCAGAUUCAUACAACCAAUCAUCACUUACCAGUUGAGUUUCAGAUGUGAAGUAGGAAGAUCCAUACUCAAACGGCAAAUGUCUAAGCUGUAUUGAUACUCGUUUGCUUUCACCACAAGCACUAUUGAAUUGGCAUUC